RNAcentral lists this ribosomal RNA (461 nucleotides) under uncultured archaeon. Its description in RNAcentral is "bacterial SSU rRNA". It matches the Rfam family "Archaeal small subunit ribosomal RNA", at positions 24 to 458 of the family's 1478-position model. The record is from RNAcentral.
CCCGACUGCUAUCGGAUUGAGAUUUAGCCACGCGAGUCGAACGUCCACCUGUUGCGGGGGGCGUGGCGUACGGCUCAGUAACACGUAGUCAACCUGCCCUGGAGACACGGACAACCCCGGGAAACUGGGACUAAUCCGUGAUAGGUCACCUCAUCUGGAAGGAGAGAUGGCCCAAAGGGGCGCGCGGGCUUCUUCUGCGCGUUCGCUCCAGGAUGGGACUGCGACCGAUCAGGCUGUUGGCGGGGUAAAGGCCCACCAAACCUGUAACCGGUACGGGCCUUGAGAGAGGUGGCCCGGAGAUGGACACUGAGAAAAGGGUCCAGGUCCUACGGGGCGCAGCAGGCGCGAAACCUUCGCAAUGCGCGAAAGCGUGACGAGGUUAAUCCNGAGUGAUUUCCGCUGAGGAGACCUUUUGUCGGCAGUAAAUAGGCCGGCGAAUAAGGGGAGGGCAAGCCUGGUGU